UACCACAGGGCUAGGGAUAUAACUCCAC
RNAcentral lists this non-coding RNA (28 nucleotides) under Mus musculus (house mouse). The record is from RNAcentral. Lineage: Eukaryota; Metazoa; Chordata; Mammalia; Rodentia; Muridae.